RNAcentral lists this ribosomal RNA (253 nucleotides) under uncultured bacterium. Its description in RNAcentral is "partial 16S ribosomal RNA". It matches the Rfam family "Bacterial small subunit ribosomal RNA", at positions 524 to 776 of the family's 1533-position model. The record is from RNAcentral.
UACGGGGGGGGCAAGCGUUGUUCGGAAUUACUGGGCGUAAAGGGCUCGUAGGCGGCCAACUAAGUCAGACGUGAAAUCCCUCGGCUUAACCGGGGAACUGCGUCUGAUACUGGAUGGCUUGAGUUUGGGAGAGGGAUGCGGAAUUCCAGGUGUAGCGGUGAAAUGCGUAGAUAUCUGGAGGAACACCGGUGGCGAAGGCGGCAUCCUGGACCGACAUUGACGCUGAUGAGCGAAAGCUAGGGGAGCAAACGGG